AGCUUUAGGACUCCAUGCUACAAAACUUCAGUUCCAAAGCCAAGAAAUGAAUGUUAACUUUGCAAAUGUGAGCUGCGGAGAACAACAACCAGCCAGGGGGCUGCACCAAGCCAGCCAGCGAUGUCAGGAACAACCAUGAGCAGCUCCUGAGCUUGCUGAAAUCCCAGGAGCGGAGCAGGGAUGUUUCAGCUGCUGCUGCAAUCAGCAGUUAUUAAUGCUGGCUGCCAGAGGCAAAAGUGGUCAUGGUGGUAGGCUCAAGAUAGAAAAGCACAGAAGAGGUACUCUUUUUAUAGUUUGUUUUUUUUUUUUCUUUACUGCAAUGGAAAAAAAAACCAACAUCGCAAAUUGAUAUUCUGAUUAAACUGGAGGACACCUGCCUCUGGUAAUGAUGGAAUUAAGCAAAUUAUCCUUUUAUUGCACCAUUCUCAAGUUUUUAUAUAAUUCUCCUCACGUCUUUCUUGUCAUUGCAGUAUCUAAAAACCUUUCCUUCAAACGGUGUCACUGAUUGCUUUUGUAGGUUUGUUUCUUUCCUUCUUUAUAGAGGGAAAGGUAUAAGUAGUAAGUGGUUUGGUUUUCUCUUCAGUUUUUAAAUAAGGCCUAAUAUUAACUAAGUAUUUUGAAGGGAAAAAAAUAGUUAAAAGACUGUAUAAAUUGUAUACAGAGUGAAGAUCCAGUCUGGUCAUGGCGAUGGAGGUUGGGUCAAGUUCUUUACAUUUAGUGCGUUGUCUCCAGCAGGAAAGGCUUGGUGAGAAUAACGCAGACUGUGCCCAUGGAGCCUGGAGGAGCAGCAGAGAACGCAGAGAAGAGACCUCUGAAUGCUUUUGCUGUUUUCCGUAGGGAUGCCCUCAGAAACGGCCUUUAUUUUCUCUAAAUGACGGGAUGAUUUUCCUGUCUGUGAAGAUUGAGGACCAGAAGUGCUGUGUACUGCAGUCCCGUCCUUAUCCGCGGGCCAGACAUCAUAGCAGUCUGUCGUAUCGCUCUGCUGAGCCCGGACUCGGAGCAACAGCAACGGCAGAGGUGUGGGCAGAGCAGCGCAGUGCUCUUGCAGAAAGGGACAGGCUUUUCAGACAACCUUGUCUCCUGAAAAGGUGUGCAAAAACAUUUCUAUAG
RNAcentral lists this long non-coding RNA (1110 nucleotides) under Anser brachyrhynchus (Pink-footed goose). Its description in RNAcentral is "lncRNA (ENSABRG00000005823.1)". Lineage: Eukaryota; Metazoa; Chordata; Aves; Anseriformes; Anatidae. The record is from RNAcentral.